GACGAACGCUGGCGGCGUGCCUAAUACAUGCAAGUUGAGCGCUGAAGGUUGGUACUUGUACCAACUGGAUGAGCAGCGAACGGGUGAGUAACGCGUGGGGAAUCUGCCUUUGAGCGGGGGACAACAUUUGGAAACGAAUGCUAAUACCGCAUAAAAACUUUAAACACAAGUUUUAAGUUUGAAAGAUGCAAUUGCAUCACUCAAAGAUGAUCCCGCGUUGUAUUAGCUAGUUGGUGAGGUAAAGGCUCACCAAGGCGAUGAUACAUAGCCGACCUGAGAGGGUGAUCGGCCACAUUGGGACGGAGACACGGCCCAAACUCCUACGGGAGGCAGCAGUAGGGAAUCUUCGGCAAUGGACGAAAGUCUGACCGAGCAACGCCGCGUGAGUGAAGAAGGUUGUCGGAUCGUAAAACUCCGUUGGUAGGGAAGAACGUUGGUGAGAGUGGAAAGCUCAUCAAGUGACGGUAACUACCCAGAAAGGGACGGCUAACUACGUG
RNAcentral lists this ribosomal RNA (497 nucleotides) under uncultured bacterium. RNAcentral describes it as "partial 16S ribosomal RNA". It matches the Rfam family "Bacterial small subunit ribosomal RNA", at positions 28 to 507 of the family's 1533-position model. The record is from RNAcentral.